Molecule: transfer RNA, 71 nt
Filed under: Maurolicus muelleri (pearlsides)
Lineage: Eukaryota; Metazoa; Chordata; Actinopteri; Stomiiformes; Sternoptychidae
Description: tRNA-Asp
Source: RNAcentral
GAGACACUAGUAAAAUGAUAUUACACUGCCUUGUCAAGACAGAAUUGUGGGCUGAUCUCCCACGUGCCUUA